AUCUUUUUAGUAUAAUAAUACAAAUGACUUCCAAUCAUUUAAUCUUAGUUAAAAUCUAGGAGAAGAUA
RNAcentral lists this transfer RNA (68 nucleotides) under Hynobius nigrescens (Sendai salamander). RNAcentral describes it as "tRNA-Gly". It matches the Rfam family "tRNA". From Rfam's summary of the family: Transfer RNA (tRNA) molecules are approximately 80 nucleotides in length. Lineage: Eukaryota; Metazoa; Chordata; Amphibia; Caudata; Hynobiidae. The record is from RNAcentral.